Molecule: transfer RNA, 59 nt
Filed under: Sulfitobacter sp.
Lineage: Bacteria; Pseudomonadati; Pseudomonadota; Alphaproteobacteria; Rhodobacterales; Roseobacteraceae
Description: tRNA-Ser
Rfam family: tRNA
About the family: Transfer RNA (tRNA) molecules are approximately 80 nucleotides in length. Their secondary structure includes four short double-helical elements and three loops (D, anti-codon, and T loops). Further hydrogen bonds mediate the characteristic L-shaped molecular structure. tRNAs have two regions of fundamental functional importance: the anti-codon, which is responsible for specific mRNA codon recognition, and the 3' end, to which the tRNAs corresponding amino acid is attached (by aminoacyl-tRNA synthetases). tRNAs cope with the degeneracy of the genetic code in two manners: having more than one tRNA (with a specific anti-codon) for a particular amino acid; and 'wobble' base-pairing, i.e. permitting non-standard base-pairing at the 3rd anti-codon position.
Source: RNAcentral
GGUAGAGCAGUUGACUGUUAAUCAAUUUGUCGUAGGUUCGACCCCUACCGCGGGAGCCA